This 404-nucleotide ribosomal RNA is filed under the name uncultured bacterium. Its description in RNAcentral is "bacterial SSU rRNA". It matches the Rfam family "Bacterial small subunit ribosomal RNA", at positions 355 to 776 of the family's 1533-position model. The record is from RNAcentral.
UCGGGAAUUUUGCUCAAUGGGGGAAACCCUGAAGCAGCAACGCCGCGUGCGGGAUGAAGGCCUUCGGGUUGUAAACCGCUUUUACCAGGGACGAUAAUGACGGUACCUGAUGAAUAAGUCACGGCUAACUACGUGCCAGCAGCCGCGGUAAUACGUAGGUGACUAGCGUUGUCCGGAUUUACUGGGCGUAAAGAGCGCGCAGGCGGUCGUUCAAGUCGAGUGUGAAAGCCCCCGGCUCAACUGGGGAGGGUCAUUCGAUACUGAUCGACUUGAAGGCAGGAGAGGGAAGCGGAAUUCCCGGUGUAGUGGUGAAAUGCGUAGAUAUCGGGAGGAACACCAGUGGCGAAGGCGGCUUCCUGGCCUGUUCUUGACGCUGAGGCGCGAAAGCUAGGGGAGCAAACGGG